Molecule: long non-coding RNA, 4199 nt
Organism: Eriocheir sinensis (Chinese mitten crab)
Lineage: Eukaryota; Metazoa; Arthropoda; Malacostraca; Decapoda; Varunidae
Exons: 2
Source: RefSeq, a predicted model, not a curated record
AAUUUGAAUAUCUUUCCUUGCAAUUAGAACAAGAUAUGAAAGAUUAGGGAAUGAAUUAGCUUUCUCCUUGCAAUUAGAACAAGAUAUGAAAGAUUAGGGAAUGAAUUUGAAUAUCUUUCCUUGCAAUUAGAACAAGAUAUGAAAGAUUAGGGAAUGAAUUAGCUUUCUCUCCUUGCAAUUAGAACAAGAUAUGAGAGAUUAGGGAAUGAAUUAGCUUUCUCUCCUUGCAAUUAGAACAAGAUAUGAAAGAUUAGGGAAUGAAUUAGCUUUCUCUCUUGCAAUUAGAACAAGAUAUGAAUGAUCAGGGAAUGAAUUAGCUUUUUCUCCUUGCAAUUAGAACAAGAUAUGAAAGAUUAGGGAAUGAAUUAGCUUUCUCUCCUUACAAUUAGAACAAGAUAUGAAAGAUUAGGGAAUGAAUUAGCUUUCUCCUUGCAAUUAGAACAAGAUAUGAAAGAUUAGGGAAUGAAUUAGCUUUCUCUCCUUGCAAUUAGAACAAGAUAUGAAAGAUCAGGGAAUGAAUUAGCUUUCUCUCCUUGCAAUUAGAACAAGAUAUGAAAGAUUAGGGAAUGAAUUAGCUUUCUCCUUGCAAUUAGAACAAGAUAUGAAAGAUCAGGGAAUGAAUUAGCUUUCUCUCCUUGCAAUUAGAACAAGAUAUGAAAGAUUAGGGAAUGAAUUAGCUUUCUCUCCUUGCAAUUAGAACAAGAUAUGAAAGAUUAGGGAAUGAAUUAGCUUUCUUACCUUGCAAUUAGAACAAGAUAUGAAAGAUUAGGGAAUGAAUUAGCUUUCUCUCCUUGCAUUUAGAACAAGAUAUGAAAGAUUAGGGAAUGAAUUUGCUUUCUUACCUUGCAAUUAGAACAAGAUAUGAAAGAUUAGGGAAUGAAUUUGAAUAUCUUUCCUUGCAACUAGAACAAGAUAUGAAAGAUUAGGGAAUGAAUUUGCUUUCUUACCUUGCAAUUAGAACAAGAUAUGAAAGAUUAGGGAAUGAAUUUGAAUAUCUUUCCUUGCAACUAGAACAGAGUAUAAAGGAUUACCGACGACUUGCAUGGCAUUCAUCACAAAUAUACAUAACUAGACUGAAUAUUUUUUUCUUUACAACUGGAACAGGAUGCGAGUAAUUAGAGAAGAUAAAUACAUAGGUCCAACAAUCUUAAUUCCACUGGUCCAAAAAUGUCAACGGUCUGUAUUUAUGAAGGCGGGAAGUUAUCAUUGGAAAACUAUAAACAUGUCAAAGUUUUGCGGUACAGAUAAUUAUAAAUAAAUAUAUAGCAACUUACUUCAAAAGGUACACAUAUACACACACACUGCUGGAAGACAAUUCUCAACAACAUGGUAACACACAUCCCAAUUCUAACAUUUUUUUUUUUUACUGAACUGGAGACCGAAAAAGGGGAAAACAAAAAGUAAAUGAAUGAAAAAUAAAAAAAGGAAUAUAAAAGUAAAGAUAAUAAUAAACAUAAAAUAAAGAAAGAAAAAAAUUCCCACAACCAUAUACAGAAGACAGAAAAGAUACCAAAACAGACUUACAGUAAAAUGACAAAGUUCAUCUACUGGAGAAUGAUGAAAAUGCUAAAAUAGAUAAUAUAAAAAGAAAAAGAACUUCCUACAACACACAACCCCAUACAAAGAAGGCAUAAAAAGAUCCCAAAACAUACUUACAAUGACCAACUUUAGCUGUCACAGAAUGUUGAAAGGAAGGACGAUGGACAACCACUCAUCCUGUCCCCAAAUCAAAGUUAGUUUGAGCCUCUAAUACAUCCUUUAUUCCUCCGUUAAAAGCAAGAUGCUAGAAGGAAGGGAAUGGAAGGAAGCUGAAAGGAAGAGAUAGAAUGUAAGAAUGAGAUGAAAGAAAGAUGGAAGGAUUUGGGGGGAAGGAAGAAGGGGAACUGAAAGAGAAAAAAUAUACAAUGAUCAAAUUUAGCUAUCGGAGAAUGCCAAGUGGAAGGAAGAUGGACAACCACUCAUUCUGUCCCCAAAUCAAAGUUGGCAUGAGCUUCUAAUACAUCCUUUAUUCCUCUGUUACAAGUGACUGAUGCGAGACAUUACAAAGGUGGGUGGGAGUGUUAGUAAAGAAAGAACCAAGAUACUGGAAGGAGAGGAAUGGAAGAAAGCUGAAAGGAGGAGAUAGAAUGUAAGAAAGAGAUGAAAGAAAGAUGGAAGGAAGAAGGGGAGCUGAGAGAAAAAAAUAUACAAUGAUCAAAUUUAGCUACUAGAGAAUGCUAAAUGGAAGGAGGGAUGAGGAUAACCACCCAUCCCAUUCUGCACCAAAAUCAAAGUUAGCAUGAGCCUCUAAUACAUUCUUUAUUCCUCUGUUUACAUGUGGUUAUUGAUGACAUUUCAGGUGCGGUGGCUACACAACACUACAAGGGUGGGUGGGAGUGUUAGUAACCCCAGUCCAUGGGUGAUGAGGAACAAGAAGGUUACAAUAAUGUCCCCAGUUAGAGGUGACAAUAAAAUGAAAGAAAUUGGAGGAAAUUAUACACGAAAUCUGUCGGGUGCUGAAUCGAAAAACCUGAUCAUCAUGGAGACUAAUUUGGUUUGAGUGCUUAUAAGGACAUAUUCUUAUUUGCAGUAAAGGAAACAGCUAAAGGGCAAAAAAAUAACUUAGACAAAAGAGUCCACUAAUCACUGCCCUUAUUAAAAAGAGUACAGAUUUGCAGUAAUGGAAGCAGCUUAAGGGUAACAAAAAGAGAAAGCUGAUAUGCUCCCUUGUGGAUGAGAGGAUCAACCCCCCUCACUCUAAACCUGACUUAGUGGCGAGCUUUUUCCUCCAGGGACUGACAGGCUGAUUGGUGGAUAUAUUGGUUAUAUACGCUGUUGGAGUCAACAGAGUGACGAAAACUUUUUUAUUAACUUUUUUAUCCAUACUCUUUUUAGCUUAGGACUCCAUGAUUAUCUUUUUACAUUAAGAAAUAAGACUUUACUCUGUUGGAAUUAUAUGACUAACACUUUUUUUUCAUGUACAAACUCUUUUCAGCUUAUGCUAAUCUUUUCACUUUAACAAACAACACUUUACUCUGUUGGAAUUACAUAAACAACUUUUUCUUAUACAGUGGUAUCUCGUGAUUCGAACGCCUUUCAAUUCGAACACAUUUCUCAAACAAAUUUUGUCCUCCAAUUCGAACACAAACAAACGGCUGCAGACAAAGCCACCAGCGUAGCCAGGUUGGUGAAUGUGAUACCGCGGACUCCAGCCUCAAAAAACACCAACCCGAGACUGCCAUUUUUUCCUGCGCACUCCUGGCCGUCCAGGAGGACAGCCUUUCAAUAUUUUACUCCAGGAAAUCUGUGCGUAGCGCCGGUGAAUCAGUUGGAUAUUUUCCAUGAUCUUACAUCUGUGUCCUUCCCUUCCCUCUCCUCCAUUUCCCCACACAAAAUGCAUUUACAUGUGUUGGCAAUAUUUAGUUGACAACCAAAUAUAUAUCUGGUUGACAAUAUUUGAGUGAUCUGGCUACAGGGCACAACAUAAACCCAUAAAAAUGUUUAAAAAAUAUAAGGAUUUUUGGGCCUGGAACGGAUUAAUUUUUUCUACAUUCAUUUCAAUGGGAUAAAUUGCUUCCUAACUCGAACAGCCCAAAUUAACCAAUUAAGUUCGAAUUACGAGGUACCACUGUACAAACUUUUUUUCAGCUUAAAGAUUAUACCAAACCAUUUACUUCAACAAACAAGACUUCACUCUCUUGGAAUUUCAUGAACACAUUUUUUCCUAUACAAACUAAUUUUUUCACCAUUUAGACUAUGCUAAUCAUUUUAUUUCAACAAGACUUUAAUACUUCCUUAACUUUACUUAACAAAACAAACAAGACAUAUUUACUGGUUCUGAAUGCAUAACACCUUGAAGUCUGUCUCUGUGUGUGUGUUGUGGUACGAAAAACCUCGUCUCAAGGGCUGUUCUAUGCAUGACUUGGGUAGAAUAUACAUUAAUAAACCCACACAAUACAUGGUAAUAAUGAGAAUAAUAGUAAUAAUAAAGUAAUAAUAAUGGAGAGCAUCUUAUGUAAGGCUCUAACUUAAGCUAUAUUUGCACACAGCACACGAAAUGGUUAUGGAAAUGAUAGUAAUAAAAAUAGGAAUAAUAAUAAUAAUGACAAGAAUAAUAAUUUGUCACCUUAUUUUUAACACCAUGCAGGGCUAAAGAUUACAGAAAGAGGAAACUACUGCUAAAUCCGCACACACACACACACACACACACACAUACAUAC